UACAGAGGGGGCAAGCGUUGUUCGGAAUUACUGGGCGUAAAGGGCGCGUAGGCGGCCCGCUAAGUCGAACGUGAAAUCCCCGAGCUCAACUCGGGAACUGCGUCCGAUACUGGUGGGCUUGAAUCCGGGAGAGGGAUGCGGAAUUCCAGGUGUAGCGGUGAAAUUCGUAGAUAUCGGGAGGAACACCAGUGGCGAAGGCGGCGACCUGGGCCAAUAUUGACGCUGAGGUGCGAAAGCGUGGGGAGCAAACAGG
This 253-nucleotide ribosomal RNA is filed under the name uncultured bacterium. RNAcentral describes it as "partial 16S ribosomal RNA". It matches the Rfam family "Bacterial small subunit ribosomal RNA", at positions 524 to 776 of the family's 1533-position model. The record is from RNAcentral.